GAUGAACGCUGGCGGCGUGCCUAAUACAUGCAAGUCGAGCGAACGGACGAUAAGCUUGCUUUUCUGAUGUUAGCGGCGGACGGGUGAGUAACACGUGUAUAACCUACCUAUAAGACUGGGAUAACUUCGGAACACCGGAGCUAAUACCGGAGAAUCUUUUGAACCGCAGGGUUCAAAAGUGAAAUACGGUCUUUCGGGCACUAAUCGAUGCAUCCGGGCUGGAUUAUCUAGUUGUUAAGUUACCAGCUUACGAAGGCAACGAUGCAUAGCAGACCUGAGAGGGUGGUAGGCCACACUGGAACGGAGCCACGGUCCUGAGUCCUAAGGGAGGCAGCAGUAGGGAACGUUACGCAAUGGGCGGAAGCCUGACGGAGCAACGCCGCGUGAGUGAUGGAGGCCCUCGGAUCGUAAAACUCUGUUAUUAGUGAAGAACAGCUGUGUCCGUAACUGUGCACAUCUUGACGGUAACUAAUCAGAAAGCCACGGCUAACUACGUG
Molecule: ribosomal RNA, 497 nt
Filed under: uncultured bacterium
Lineage: Bacteria
Description: partial 16S ribosomal RNA
Rfam family: Bacterial small subunit ribosomal RNA
Source: RNAcentral